UUUCAAAUUUCUAGUUUCCCAAAAAAAAAAAAAAAAAAAAAAGGGAAAUUCAACAAAGCUUCAUCAAUGGAGGACAACUACAAAUUCUCAAAAGCUUUACACUAUCUUGAUCAAGAUAGUGUGAAGUAAAAUCAAUUCAUGGUACCCAACAAAAGCUUCAACUCCAAAGCUUCACCUACAAAGCUUCAACUCCAAAAGCUUCACCACAAAAGCUUCACCCACAAAAGCUUCCCCCACCACAAAAGCUUCACCCAUAAAAGCUUCACCCACAAAAGCUUCCCUCACCACAAAAGCUUCACCCACAAAAGCUUCACCUACAAAGCUUCAACACAAAAGCUUCACCUAUAAAAGCUUCACACUAUCUUGAUCAAGAUAGUGUGAAGCAAAAUCAAUUCAUGGUACCCAACAAAGCUUCAACCUCAAAGCUUCAUCUACAAAGCUUCACCUACAAAGCUUUAAAUAUAUAUAUAUAUAUUUUUUUUUUCAAAAAUUCGAAAAUUCAAAAAUUCGGAAAUUUGAAAAUUAGAAAAUUUGAAAAAAAAAAUUCAAAAAAAAAAAAUUUAAAAAAAAAUCGAAAAAAGAAUUGCCUAGGCCUCCUCUUCUUUGGGCCUAACAACUUUCAUAACAAAUAUUUAUGAAGAAGGAGUUUUGGGCUACCACUUAGAAAGGAAAUGCCUCAUUCGUCAACUCCCUCGAUCGGAGACUUGGGGGACUUCUACCGUAUGCUACUGCACCUCGAUACUCGGAAGUUUCACGACCAUUCAAUGACUUGGAUUUUUCAACUCUCCAAACGAGAAGUUUUCCUCACUUGGGAAAUUAAGGGAGCACUACCUCAACCUACAUGCUUCACUCACAAAGCUUCAACAUAUAAGCUUUAACGAAAGGAAAAAUUUAAAGAACUUAGUGAAGAAGACCUUGGUGUAUUUAACAUAAUACGUUGAAAUGAAGCAAAGCUUGUUUAUUGAUAUCUCCGAUAAGUUACAAAUAUGUACAUAUACAUGAAU
RNAcentral lists this long non-coding RNA (1004 nucleotides) under Malus domestica (apple). Its description in RNAcentral is "long non-coding RNA (MDOM_LNC004472)". Lineage: Eukaryota; Viridiplantae; Streptophyta; Magnoliopsida; Rosales; Rosaceae. The record is from RNAcentral.